GAUGAACGCUGGCGGCGUGCUUAACACAUGCAAGUCGAACGAUGAACCUCACUUGUGGGGGGAUUAGUGGCGAACGGGUGGGUAACACGUGAGUAACCUGCCCUUGACUCUGGGAUAAGCCUGGGAAACUGGGUCUAAUACCGGAUAUGACUGAUCACCGCAUGGUGGUUGGUGGAAAGCUUUUGCGGUUUUGGAUGGACUCGCGGCCUAUCAGCUUGUUGGUGGGGUAAUGGCCUACCAAGGCGACGACGGGUAGCCGGCCUGAGAGGGUGACCGGCCACACUGGGACUGAGACACGGCCCAG
Molecule: ribosomal RNA, 304 nt
Filed under: uncultured bacterium
Lineage: Bacteria
Description: bacterial SSU rRNA
Rfam family: Bacterial small subunit ribosomal RNA
Source: RNAcentral